UGGGGAAUAUUGGACAAUGGGCGCAAGCCUGAUCCAGCCAUGCCGCGUGUGUGAAGAAGGCCUUUUGGUUGUAAAGCACUUUAAGCGAGGAGGAGGCUACUUGGAUUAAUACUCUAGGAUAGUGGACGUUACUCGCAGAAUAAGCACCGGCUAACUCUGUGCCAGCAGCCGCGGUAAUACAGAGGGUGCGAGCGUUAAUCGGAUUUACUGGGCGUAAAGCGUGCGUAGGCGGCUUCUUAAGUCGGAUGUGAAAGCCCUGAGCUUAACUUAGGAAUUGCAUUCGAUACUGGGAAGCUAGAGUAUGGGAGAGGAUGGUAGAAUUCCAGGUGUAGCGGUGAAAUGCGUAGAGAUCUGGAGGAAUACCGAUGGCGAAGGCAGCCAUCUGGCCUAAUACUGACGCUGAGGUACGAAAGCAUGGGGAGCAAACAGG
This 430-nucleotide ribosomal RNA is filed under the name bacterium. RNAcentral's name for it is "partial 16S ribosomal RNA". It matches the Rfam family "Bacterial small subunit ribosomal RNA", at positions 355 to 776 of the family's 1533-position model. The record is from RNAcentral.